This is a long non-coding RNA of Magnolia sinica, 748 nucleotides long. RefSeq lists it as uncharacterized. NCBI's taxonomy places the organism in Eukaryota, Viridiplantae, Streptophyta, Magnoliopsida, Magnoliales, Magnoliaceae. The transcript has 3 exons. The record is from RefSeq and is a predicted model, not a curated record.
UGAAAUUAUUGCUUGGUAGCUUCUUCUGUCAAACAUACUUCCUUAACAUGGGUUGCUGUCAGAAAUUCAAUAUUUGCUCUAUGGUUGCAAAUCUUGCAAUUCAUGUGUCCCAAGUUGAAAAUUCUGAAUAAAAUCAUAUGUUCAUUCACUUCUGUCAGCACCAAGUCCAUGAGAGCCAACGGUGGAAUCGAUGUUAUCAUUAAGGCCAUUGAGAAGCUGCGCCUGCGUUACAAGGAGCACAUUUCUGCAUAUGGGGAGGGCAAAGAGAGAAGCUUAACAAGGCGCCAUGAAACCGCCGACAUCAACACGUUCUCAUGGGUUGCAAUCGAAUGUACGGUGGAGAGUUGUAAUGAACCUGCCUGGGUUCUUUCCGACUAACCAAAGAAGUCAAAUAAUUAACGCCUAAUAGAACACCUACAUGAGAAAUUUCUAAGCACCAUCUUUGGCAAUUUCCUUAAAAAUUUUCCCACCCUUUAUAUAGAUGUGAAAAGUCAACAUUAGCUCUCAAAUAGUUGAGACGGUUGGAUUCGCUUCUUUCAAAGUGGGGAUUAUGUUCUUCUAGCAAACAUGUUCGCAAGUGCUAGCCAAUGGAACAAAGUGACAAGAGUGAGAGAGGCAAUGAGAAAUAGAGGAGUUCAGAAACCAAAGCUAGGUAACAGCCUCAUCGAGCUACAUCCAACAAUUUAGCUUGAAUCAGAAUUUUCAAGGACUGUUGUGGAUGCAUUUCUUUCUUGUGUAGCAGAUUUUC